GACGAACGCUGGCGGCGUGCUUAACACAUGCAAGUCGAACGAAGAGCGAUGGAAGCUUGCUUCUAUCAAUCUUAGUGGCGAACGGGUGAGUAACGCGUAAUCAACCUGCCCUUCAGAGGGGGACAACAGUUGGAAACGACUGCUAAUACCGCAUACGAUCUAAUCUCGGCAUCGAGGAUAGCUGAAAGGAGGCCUCUACAUGUAAGCUAUCACUGAAGGAGGGGAUUGCGUCUGAUUAGCUAGUUGGAGGGGUAACGGCCCACCAAGGCGAUGAUCAGUAGCCGGUCUGAGAGGAUGAACGGCCACAUUGGGACUGAGACACGGCCCAGACUCCUACGGGAGGCAGCAGUGGGGAAUCUUCCGCAAUGGACGAAAGUCUGACGGAGCAACGCCGCGUGAGUGAUGACGGCCUUCGGGUUGUAAAGCUCUGUUAAUCGGGACGAAAGGCCUUCUUGCGAAUAGUGAGAAGGAUUGACGGUACCGGAAUAGAAAGCCACGGCUAACUACGUG
Molecule: ribosomal RNA, 510 nt
Filed under: uncultured bacterium
Lineage: Bacteria
Description: partial 16S ribosomal RNA
Rfam family: Bacterial small subunit ribosomal RNA
Source: RNAcentral